UCUCUUCCUCUCCCUUCUUAUCAACCACGCACGGCGCUGCUCCCUCCUUUGAACACCGCCGCCGUCGUUCAGCCACCAUAUCUCGGUGGCCUCUUCUAAUCACAACCGUCAUCCAUUUCUUUCUCUCACACCUCUCACACAUGGCCAAAGUUUUACAACCCCUCUACAAUUCUUAAUCGAGAGUUUCAAAACUCUCUAUGUCAUACAUCGACUCCAACCAGAAUCUGACCAAAAUAGUAAUCGGGCUCACCGCUGAAACCCCUCUACUCUCCAGGCUAACCUAAACUCAAAAAAAUAUCCAUAUCCUCCUUCAUCUCCCUCUCGAUCGCUCACCUCUUCAACCCCGACACCCGACGCUCGGCCAAGGAGCUAUGCGGAUAAGAGGAAGAAGUGAAGCUGAUCGAUUUCUGGGAGUAAUUUAUAAUGGAUAAGGAUACAGGCAAUGGUGGGCACUGACGAAAGAACAGAGGGAUCGGGUUAUGAAGAUUAAAUCCAUUUGAAGAGUUGCUAUGCUAGCUUUGGGUUUUUGGUGCUUUUGAGGAAUGCUUGGGUAAUUUCUAUUGUUCCCAUGUAAACACGAUUGAGGGGGAGAAGGUUAUGGGUUUUUAGAUUAAACUAUUAAUUGCUAAAGAAAGGGUGAGUCAAAGUUUAAAAAAAAAAUUGCCACUGCUUCCUUGACUUUUGACUAGAACCCAAAAAACCGAACCUAAAUCCUUUUACUUGUUUAAUUUAUUUUCUCGUUGGUUGUUUAAUGCGAAUUUAUUUGAUUUAAUAACGCUAACCUCAGUCCCUAAAUUCUGGCCAUACAACCCCGAACGACUAGGAUGGAACCACCGAGAUUCUACCAUUGUUCACAAUUACGUUUUCCAGAGCUUCACGUGGAUUGGAGGCUUGAAUGAUAAUACUGCUGUUUUGGACUGAUU
Molecule: long non-coding RNA, 923 nt
Organism: Hibiscus syriacus
Lineage: Eukaryota; Viridiplantae; Streptophyta; Magnoliopsida; Malvales; Malvaceae
Exons: 3
Source: RefSeq, a predicted model, not a curated record